AACUUUCAACAACGGAUCUCUUGGCUCUCGCAUCGAUGAAGAACGCAGCGAAAUGCGAUACGUAAUGUGAAUUGCAGAAUUCAGUGAAUCAUCGAAUCUUUGAACGCACCUUGCGCCCCUUGGCAUUCCGAGGGGCACACCCGUUUGAGUGUCGU
RNAcentral lists this ribosomal RNA (155 nucleotides) under uncultured Russulaceae. RNAcentral describes it as "5.8S ribosomal RNA". It matches the Rfam family "5.8S ribosomal RNA". From Rfam's summary of the family: 5.8S ribosomal RNA (5.8S rRNA) is a component of the large subunit of the eukaryotic ribosome. It is transcribed by RNA polymerase I as part of the 45S precursor that also contains 18S and 28S rRNA. Lineage: Eukaryota; Fungi; Basidiomycota; Agaricomycetes; Russulales; Russulaceae. The record is from RNAcentral.